Ictalurus punctatus (channel catfish) is the source of this 3728-nucleotide long non-coding RNA. The record is from Ensembl. Lineage: Eukaryota; Metazoa; Chordata; Actinopteri; Siluriformes; Ictaluridae.
ACAGCUUCCCCAUACUCGGUUUUAGUGCAUUAAAGGCGCAGUAGUAGUUUUUUAAAAAAUGUAUAUCUCUUACUUACAGAUAAACGGUAAGAUACAUAAACAUGAUUUUAAAAUAAUUGUUUAAGCCAGUGGUUCCCAAACUUUUCCAGGGCAAGGCCCCCCCAAAUGGAAUUAACAUUUGACAGAGGCCCCCCUUUUGCAAGAUGUCUUUAAAACACAUUAAAAAUACAGACUUCUGAAUAUAUCCCCCCCUUUUUUCUAUUAAUAGUUACAUCUUGCAUCUUUACAUUACAUUAGAUUAGGAAUUGAUUGUGUGUGUGGUUGUCUGAGAGUGAGAAAGAGAAAAUCAUGUAUUUAUUUAUUUUUCACACCAAAUUGUUCCGGCCCCCACUUUGAAAACCACUGGUUUAAGCCAUGGCCUCAGCAUAAGUGUAUUAGGUGGGUAAGAAAACCUGGGCUGGAAUGCUUGUUUGCUUUUGGAUGGGCCUUCAUUUUUUAUAAACAGUCUAGGGACCACCAGAGACCUAAUCUUGUCAGAGGAAAAAAACGAUUUAAAGCUACAUCCACAUUAAUCCAGAUUAAUUUGAAAACGCAUCCUUUUCUGUCCACACUGUCUGGCGAAAACAAAGCUUUUCGAAAACAGCCUCCCAAGUGGAUAUAUUUGAAAAAUGCAGUUUUCACAUUGUAGUGUGGACUGAGAAAAUAGAGAUAUUCAAAAAUUAUGUAUUUUUAAGUCUAGCAGCCGUCACGUGACCCAGUCAGCUCAAAAACAAACAAGAUGGUGGAUGAUGUACUGCAGUUGUUGUGCCUGCAUUCCAGUUUGAUAGCUUUCUUAAAGAUGAAUGUCACUUUGUACAACCUUCGGAUUGCAUUUUUAAAUAAACGCCUGAGGGAAAUGACGCAGGGCAAAGCUUAUUAAGUUUUUUUUACGCAUGUGCAUUAGAGGGGUGUAAAGCAGUGUUUUCAGACAUUUGAGUGUGGACGAGCAGUUUCUGGAAAAUGUUUGCAAACGCCAGUGUAGACGGAGUGCGUUUUAAAACAAAAAUGCAAUUUUCAGAUCUAUCCGGAUUAAUGUUGAGUAAUCUUACCUAAUUCACCUUUACGUGAAACCCUUGUGUGUUUAUGCUCUGUGUUUACAUGCAAAACUUUUGACCAAUCCAAAUGAAUUCACUGUGAUUACAGGUACACUGUGUAAACAAAAUCUGUAUAAAGCCCCUGUUUACAUGCACAUUAUAUGUAAUCCGAUCCAGAGUUAUGUGCACGCCUGGAACAAGUAUAAUGUGGAUCAAGUCUCAGCAAAACCUCACCUAUUGUUAUUAUUAAACGCACAGCGAGGAGAAGACUUGUGAUUGCAGCGCGUGCUUUCCUAGUACAGGCGUGCGCGCGCUACAUAUAUCCCCAGCGAGAAGAGAAAAUGGAGGAAGUCAUUACGUUGACCGCGUUGCAGACUACCUAUAUUCCUAAGUGAGUAUGCAUCACUGAACGUUUCCGAUAACAGCUAGGUAAAUAAAAAAAAAUAUAUAUAUAUUUACGACAGCAGGUUUAAUCGGCUAACAUCAAAUUCCUUUAAUUAAACCCUUGCGCGAGCCUAGUCACCGAUAAUGGCGUCACGGUCGAAGGCCACCAUAUUAUCAACAUAACGCUGUCUGCAGAAUGAAAAGCUAUUGUAAGUAAAAUAAUGCACAGGCUGCAUUUAUGGGUAAUUCGCUCGUCCUGCAUACUGCAUGCAAAUACACGGAGGUGGUCGUGAACGCGAGGUCUUCGUUGUGUGUCGCUAUGGUGAUUAGCUAACUAAGCUAACGGAAGAGAAAACUAGCAUGGCGUUUGACCGUGUGGCUCGCGCACAGUUCGGGGUUGGGGGGAGUUUAGCUAGCACGAAGCCUUUUGGUCAAUAUUUUAUAUCUGAGGUGAUGUACUAUACAUUGUAGUGGUUCUGUAAGUCAGCAUUGCUUUGUAAAUUUAUUUCAAUUUAUCGAAUGUUUGUUUAGCCGUUUUAGCAAAACUAAUGGGUGUUGCGCAUGCGCGUUGACUCGUUAGCGUGUCCCAUAACAAUAGAAAAACAGCGCGAGUGUUGUUAACAAUUAUAAUAACGUUAUUGAGUUAUCACAACGAUUUGAGUUUUUUGGGGGGUGGGGGUUAAAAUAUAAACUUAUUACAGUACAUCGAAUUUUAUUCUCUCGAGAAGAUGAGCAGUAUGUUUAGCUCGCUAGCAUAGCUGUGCAUGUAGCAGGUAGUUAACGGGUUUAUGUUGCGUUCACGCGCUCCUCGGAUUGUACGAGCUUUCAUUUGCGUCCAAGUCGUAUUGUUAGUCGUUAGCCUGAUCUGUUUUGGUUUCCUCUUACCGUUCUCAUCUAUUGAAAACAAAAUGGGUUACAUGUAUAAGUUGCUGUAUGCGGCUUAGUGAGUACUGAAACUAAGUGAUAACGUUAUUCAUUAAAAAACACAUUACUUACGACUAUUAUAGUUCGUCUUUGGAUGAAAGUGCAAAAGUUAACUAUGGUUUAAAAAUCAUUUCUGACGUUGAAAUUCGCUAUUACGACUUCACGUGUAACGUUUAGGUCAGUAACUCUUGUGUAAAAGAUUUCCGACCUCACAUGACCAGACAUGCACUGAGCUCAAUAACACAAAACAGGUCUAUAGGUGAAGCCAACAAGUCAAUAAGAAACUCGUGUGCAUUCGGUAAUAUGGCGUCCCAUCAGGACUACCUUGAGUUCUUCUUCAGAGGAAAUUCAUUUUCAAAUUCUGCCUAAAAUGCCUUUGUGUUUCAGUGGUCUCUGGGCGAGGUCACACGUUUCCCAUAAUGCUUCUGUUGUAUUUUUGAAGUUGGUAGUUUUCUGGUGGAAUAAAACACCACGGGGGCGUGAUGCUCUGAAAAUAAUCACUGACCCAAGACUUGAUGAUUUCCUAUAUCCUAUAAAAGCAUGACAACUGUCUUGUGUUUUUCUUAACGAAUAUAGUUGUUUUUUUUUCUGUUUAUUAAAGAAUGACAUCUUACUUUUUAUUCGGUUUAUGUUUACAUUUAAUGUUGUGGAACGUCCACGGGACAGAAUAGUCCCUGUUAUGAGUUACGGCUAUAAACUGACCAUCAUAUAAACACCCUCUUGAUGCGAGAAAUAUGAAAGACAACUCAUAACAUAAUUUGUUUCUGGGGAUGGACAAGACGGCAGCCGAGGUAUUCUGUUUUGUCUUCAGAUAAAAAUUUCUCUUUACUCAAAGCACAAAGUCCUCUGUCUGGACCGGUUUCCCCAUGGCAGAACAGCUUGUCGUAUAAAUCCCUCAGAGUUAGCAGUUACCAUAUAGUCAGUACUAUUGUCAGAGCCGCUGUUAUAGAAAAUUAAUCAACACCUGACUGAAGAAUUCAGCAGCACUGUGAUAUGAUUUUGCCAUGUGUCCGUCUGAGAUUUUGACAUUAUGUAGGGAAUACAAGUUAUAGUAAUUUUCCUAGUGGGGUAAUAUUGAUGUCUUUCACAUAAAUCUGUUUUAAGUAAAAAAAAAAAUGUUUCAUAAUUAAAAAAAUGAUUGCCAAUUAGUUUGUAGGACACUUGAUGAUUGUACAGUCACAGAUAUCUGCUGCAUUCCUUCUUUAUCUUAGUGUAUAACACGACCUGCUCUUCUAUUCAAACAGCCGUAUAUGGGGUCAAAGCAAAGGAGAAUGAAAUGUAGUAGCCAUGAUAGUCAUUCAUCCUAAUGCCAAGUUCAUUCAUCCAGACUGAAUAUUUUGGUUUACU